This is a long non-coding RNA of Drosophila yakuba, 992 nucleotides long. RefSeq lists it as uncharacterized. The record is from RefSeq and is a predicted model, not a curated record. Lineage: Eukaryota; Metazoa; Arthropoda; Insecta; Diptera; Drosophilidae. The transcript has 2 exons.
UUCAACUUUCGGUUAACAAAAUUAAAUUGGUUUUACGUUUCCGUCAGCUUUGUAAGACUUAUAUUUAAAAAAGUGAUCGGUUAAAUUAUAAGGAUUAAAAAAAAAAGAACUUAAUGUGACGGCAGUGCUUAUUUUGAAUUAUAUCUUUUAAAUAUUUUCAUAUAUUUUUAAUAUUCAUAUUAUUAAUUUAUUUACAAAAAUUGUCGGUCAAAUUAAUGGGUAGUUUUAUAAGAAAUAUCUAAAUAAGACAAUGGUGAACCUUUUAAAAAAUUCUUGAAAAUGAUCUUACUUUUAUUAUCUGAAGGUUAAAUCAGGUAAUCAAUUAAAUGAUGUAUAAUAAUUAAUUACACUUACUAGAACCAACCGAUUUAUUACCACUGAAUCUCCUUUACGAGAAAUAUUAAAUUUUGUACGGAACACUUAUUGCACUUGUACGGCUCUACUGUUUUACGGAUACAGUAGAAUCCGGUUAUAACGACUCCGCUUAUAGCGUCAGUCCGGUUAUUGCGACGGAAACUCGAUAGCUUGGUUGGUCUCCAUACAAAGUUGUAUGAAAGGACCUCCGGUUAGUACGUCCCCGCUUUAAGCAGCAAACCGCUUAUACCGACGAGAUUUUUCGUAGUUCAACCGGAUAUUGAGACGUGCCAAACAACAACAAGAGUGAACGCUAUAGUCGAGUUCGCCGACUAUCUGAUACCCGUUACUCAGCUGGUGGAAGUGCAAAGGAGAAAUUUCCAUACUGACAGUUUUUGGCGUGCGUCUUCCGGGUAUAACGACGUAAAAUCGUCGGUCCCUUGAAAGUCGCUACAACCGGAUUAUACUGUAUAUGCAAAAGUUUCCUUGCGCACCACGCUAUCGUUGCUCUCCUACACUACGUGGACUGCCGUCUAAAAGAUACUUUAUCAUUAGGGACAAACACGGGAGUCCGCAUGGACCAUUUUGGCGUAUUUUGUGCAACAUAAAUUUUAAUAAUAAAUUAUUGUAUAAAUCUA